AACGAACGCUGGCGGCAUGCCUAACACAUGCAAGUCGAACGAGACCUUCGGGUCUAGUGGCGCACGGGUGCGUAACGCGUGGGAACCUGCCUUUAGGUUCGGAAUAACUCAGAGAAAUUUGAGCUAAUACCGGAUAAUGUCUUCGGACCAAAGAUUUAUCGCCUUUAGAUGGGCCCGCGUUGGAUUAGCUAGUUGGUGGGGUAAAGGCCUACCAAGGCGACGAUCCAUAGCUGGUCUGAGAGGAUGAUCAGCCACACUGGGACUGAGACACGGCCCAGACUCCUACGGGAGGCAGCAGUGGGGAAUAUUGGACAAUGGGCGAAAGCCUGAUCCAGCAAUGCCGCGUGAGUGAUGAAGGCCUUAGGGUUGUAAAGCUCUUUACCCGUAGAUGAUAAUGACAGUAUCGGGAGAAUAAGCUCCGGCUAACUCCGUGCCAGCAGCCGCGGUAAU
This 450-nucleotide ribosomal RNA is filed under the name uncultured bacterium. RNAcentral's name for it is "bacterial SSU rRNA". It matches the Rfam family "Bacterial small subunit ribosomal RNA", at positions 29 to 524 of the family's 1533-position model. The record is from RNAcentral.